RNAcentral lists this ribosomal RNA (630 nucleotides) under uncultured bacterium. RNAcentral's name for it is "bacterial SSU rRNA". It matches the Rfam family "Bacterial small subunit ribosomal RNA", at positions 28 to 639 of the family's 1533-position model. The record is from RNAcentral.
AAUCAACGCUGGCGGCGUGCCUAACACAUGCAAGUCGAACGCGAAAGGGACUUCGGUCCUGAGUAGAGUGGCGAACGGGUGAGUAACGCGUGGGUGAUCUACCCUCGAGUGGGGGAUAACGUUCCGAAAGGGACGCUAAUACCGCAUGAUGUUCCGGGUUUGAAGACCUGGAAACCAAAGCCGGGGACCGCAAGGCCUGGCGCUCAAGGAGGAGCCCGCGUCUGAUUAGCUAGUUGGCGGGGUAAUGGCCCACCAAGGCGACGAUCAGUAGCCGGCCUGAGAGGGCGGACGGCCACACUGGGACUGAGACACGGCCCAGACUCCUACGGGAGGCAGCAGUGGGGAAUUGUUCGCAAUGGGCGCAAGCCUGACGACGCAACGCCGCGUGGAGGAUGAAGGUCUUCGGAUUGUAAACUCCUGUUGAUCGGGACGAAAAGCUUUGACCUAACACGUCAAAGACUGACGGUACCGGUUGAGGAAGCCACGGCUAACUCUGUGCCAGCAGCCGCGGUAAUACAGAGGUGGCAAGCGUUGUUCGGAAUUACUGGGCGUAAAGGGCGCGUAGGCGGCCUUCUAAGUCGGACGUGAAAGCCCCAGGCUUAACCUGGGAACUGCGUCCGAUACUGGAAG